RNAcentral lists this ribosomal RNA (1372 nucleotides) under uncultured bacterium. RNAcentral describes it as "bacterial SSU rRNA". It matches the Rfam family "Bacterial small subunit ribosomal RNA", at positions 28 to 1381 of the family's 1533-position model. The record is from RNAcentral.
GAUGAACGCUGGCGGCGUGCCUAAUACAUGCAAGUCGAGCGAACGGACGAGAAGCUUGCUUCUCUGAUGUUAGCGGCGGACGGGUGAGUAACACGUGGAUAACCUACCUAUAAGACUGGGAUAACUUCGGGAAACCGGAGCUAAUACCGGAUAAUAUUUUGAACCGCAUGGUUCAAAAGUGAAAGACGGUCUUGCUGUCACUUAUAGAUGGAUCCGCGCUGCAUUAGCUAGUUGGUAAGGUAACGGCUUACCAAGGCAACGAUGCAUAGCCGACCUGAGAGGGUGAUCGGCCACACUGGAACUGAGACACGGUCCAGACUCCUACGGGAGGCAGCAGUAGGGAAUCUUCCGCAAUGGGCGAAAGCCUGACGGAGCAACGCCGCGUGAGUGAUGAAGGUCUUCGGAUCGUAAAACUCUGUUAUUAGGGAAGAACAUAUGUGUAAGUAACUGUGCACAUCUUGACGGUACCUAAUCAGAAAGCCACGGCUAACUACGUGCCAGCAGCCGCGGUAAUACGUAGGUGGCAAGCGUUAUCCGGAAUUAUUGGGCGUAAAGCGCGCGUAGGCGGUUUUUUAAGUCUGAUGUGAAAGCCCACAGCUCAACCGUGGAGGGUCAUUGGAAACUGGAAAACUUGAGUGCAGAAGAGGAAAGUGGAAUUCCAUGUGUAGCGGUGAAAUGCGCAGAGAUAUGGAGGAACACCAGUGGCGAAGGCGACUUUCUGGUCUGUAACUGACGCUGAUGUGCGAAAGCGUGGGGAUCAAACAGGAUUAGAUACCCUGGUAGUCCACGCCGUAAACGAUGAGUGCUAAGUGUUAGGGGGUUUCCGCCCCUUAGUGCUGCAGCUAACGCAUUAAGCACUCCGCCUGGGGAGUACGACCGCAAGGUUGAAACUCAAAGGAAUUGACGGGGACCCGCACAAGCGGUGGAGCAUGUGGUUUAAUUCGAAGCAACGCGAAGAACCUUACCAAAUCUUGACAUCCUUUGACAACUCUAGAGAUAGAGCCUUCCCCUUCGGGGGACAAAGUGACAGGUGGUGCAUGGUUGUCGUCAGCUCGUGUCGUGAGAUGUUGGGUUAAGUCCCGCAACGAGCGCAACCCUUAAGCUUAGUUGUCAUCAUUAAGUUGGGCACUCUAAGUUGACUGCCGGUGACAAACCGGAGGAAGGUGGGGAUGACGUCAAAUCAUCAUGCCCCUUAUGAUUUGGGCUACACACGUGCUACAAUGGACAAUACAAAGGGCAGCGAAACCGCGAGGUCAAGCAAAUCCCAUAAAGUUGUUCUCAGUUCGGAUUGUAGUCUGCAACUCGACUACAUGAAGCUGGAAUCGCUAGUAAUCGUAGAUCAGCAUGCUACGGUGAAUACGUUCCCGGGUCU